UGGAUUUGGACAAUGGGCGCAAGCCUGAUCCAGCAAUGCCGCGUGUGUGAAGAAGGCCUGCGGGUUGUAAAGCACUUUCAGUCGGGAGGAAAAGCUCGAGGUUAAUACCCUCGUGUCUUGACGUUACCUACAGAAGAAGCACCGGCCAACUCCGUGCCAGCAGCCGCGGUAAUAC
Molecule: ribosomal RNA, 175 nt
Filed under: uncultured bacterium
Lineage: Bacteria
Description: partial 16S ribosomal RNA
Rfam family: Bacterial small subunit ribosomal RNA
Source: RNAcentral